This 253-nucleotide ribosomal RNA is filed under the name uncultured bacterium. Its description in RNAcentral is "partial 16S ribosomal RNA". It matches the Rfam family "Bacterial small subunit ribosomal RNA", at positions 524 to 776 of the family's 1533-position model. The record is from RNAcentral.
UACGUAGGGGGCGAGCGUUGUCCGGAUUUACUGGGCGUAAAGCGCACGCAGGCGGUCUGCUAAGUUUGGAGUGACAGUUGGUGGCUCAACCACCAAAGUGCUUUGAAAACUGACAGACUUGAGGGCUUCAGAGGGACACGGAAUUCCGGGUGGAGUGGUGAAAUGCGUAGAGAUCCGGAGGAACACCAAAGGCGAAGGCAGUGUCCUGGGGAGUACCUGACGCUCAGGUGCGAAAGCCAGGGGAGCGAACGGG